RNAcentral lists this ribosomal RNA (235 nucleotides) under uncultured Candidatus Saccharibacteria bacterium. RNAcentral describes it as "partial 16S ribosomal RNA". It matches the Rfam family "Bacterial small subunit ribosomal RNA", at positions 584 to 818 of the family's 1533-position model. The record is from RNAcentral. Lineage: Bacteria; Candidatus Saccharimonadota.
UAAGCGGGUAGUGAAAUGACGGGGCUCAACCUCGUGUCCAUUACCUGAACUGCUAAGCUAGAGGAUGAGAGAGGUUAUUGGAAUUCCUGAUGUAGGGGUAAAAUCCGUUGAUAUUAGGAGGAACACCGAUGGCGUAGGCAGAUAACUGGCUCAUUCCUGACACUCAGGCACGAAAGCGUGGGGAGCAAACAGGAUUAGAUACCCUGGUAGUCCACGCCGUAAACUAUGGAUGCUA